AGCUUUAAGACCGACAGUAGUUCUGACCCUGCCUUCCCUCCACAUCGUCUCACUGAUUCCAGAUAAUAUCAGCACAAGAAGUAUUUCUUCAUAGGGAUUGGUGCAUCAGACAACUGGUGUGCAGACUGCAGACUAACAAAGGUUAAAUCACAAAAAGUGUUAUGAAAAAGCUAAGAUAGUGAGACAGCUUGGAACAACAAAGGACCAAGUGACCUGAGGACCUGGAACAGAAGUGAACCCACCUAACUUCUGGAGGUGCUAGAAAUAAUGAGGACCUUCAUUGCCUUCAGUUCUCCUCUUCCUCUUGGCCAGGACUGCCUCCUCCCUUCCAUGGGUACAGAAAACACAGAUGACAGCUCUAUUUGACACAAGCCUGACAAAACCCAAAAGUCCUGAACAUCUCUCUGGGAGCAGGACAAACAAGAUUUAAAAAAGGAAACCCCUCUCCAUGUCACUCACUUUAAGAAGAGAUGACCCCUUAAAAGUUACCUGCAGAAUCAACAAAAAAUGUACGGUCAGAGCCUCAUCCAGUUUAUACCGAGCAAGGAUACAUCUCUCGUAUUAAGGCUGCGCCAGUAAAAUCAGAAAUGCAAAUAUUCAGGUGCUUAAAAUGUAUGACGAGAACACACAGAAUUUUAAAUGAAACUGUUGUAAGUUUAUCCUCCAAACCUUGAUCUGCAACAGGAGUUUAUAAUUAUUAUGUCUACCUAUGUAACUUUUCAAAUGAAAAACUGAGAAUGUUCUGCAUUUAUUAACUUGCUUUUGGCCAAAGUGGCCAAGAAGAAAAUGGUUUUCUCCAGAAGAAAAAACCCAGAAGAAGAAACCCAUUUUCCUAUGUUACACUUAAAAGUGAAGAAAUAAUCUGAUAUAUAUUUUUUCAAGACGCUAUCUUGAAAAAGAAGACACAGAUAAUUAAAUGAUCACAAACUGUAGUGCAAUUAGAAGACUGUGAUGAAAGAUGUGAUUUAAGUAAUAGAAGUUUUAAUGGCAAAAAGAGCAGUUCACACUCAAAUGCAUAUUAAUCAUCUCAGUAUGUGUGCUUUGUCAGCUGCUGAUAAACUUAUUACUUCUUUCCUCUGUUCACUCUGAAUAAACAUCUAUUCCCAUAUGCCACUCAUAGCAUUGAGUGGAAAGAAUGAAUCCUUCUAGAGUCUGACAGAAUGGCAUCUUGUACUUGGCAUAGAUAUCAGUAGUAUCUCUUUUUAAAAAAUAGUUUCUGGUGGCAAAAGGUUGAAAAAUGCUUGGAACCCGUAGACAAAGCUGAGAAAUUUAUGAUCAUGGUGAUUGCAUUUGUAUGCAGACUUUAAACCUUUUCCUUUUCCUGCAGCAUCCAGUAUUUAUUUAGUUACUUGUUAAAAUGUGAUAAGCAAAAGAAUUUUUGUUAUUACUGCUAUUUUAGCAGUUGCUUGAAGUCUGAGGGCAGGGUGCCUUUGUCAGGAGAAACAUCUCGUGAGUGGAGAUAUAGUUGUAUGCUAGCGCAUUUAAGUGCUCUGAGCAGAAAAGCUGGUCUGAAACCACCAAGUUGGAAGAGAUACAACACAGACCGGCUUUGUAGAUUUCUCCCAAACCUAUAAAGUUUGGCUACUGUGCUUUGGUGUUUAGACAAAGCAAUGAGGUUCUGUUCUGUCCAAUAUUGUCACGUAUCAAUGAGGAGAAUUUCAGUCAUCUGUAGACAAUUCUCUGAAAAUGACAUUUUUUUUCCUCUACAGUUUUACACGUUUUCUGAAGUUAGAUUUUACUUCUCACUUUCUUACUUGCUUUUCAAAGGACUGUUUUGAAUUAACACCUCCAUCAAUAGUAUGUGUUUGAAAGUAAAUGUUCCAUAGAAAUAUGAAAAAAAUAUUUAUUGACCUCCCGUAACAAGAGAAUAGUCUUAGAUCUGGGGGCUGAUAUUGUAGCCAUUACACUAUAUGAGAGAACAGUCUUAGCUGUGGGGAAAAGACAGAGACAUCUGCAGUCUAAUACAAGUAACAGAAUUAAACACAAUGGGAACAUAGAGAAACUGGUAAAAAUUAUGCUGCUGUAUGGCUCACUGGAACUAAAUGUUGCAUAACAUGUUUUUUGUUUUUUAUUUUUGCAGUGCUUCACCAUUCAAAUUAAUUAAAGAAUUUUCCAGAAUGAGGUGCAAUGUUGCUUUGGAAAAUAUUGCUUUAGCAAGCUGUAAUGGGCAACUCAGCAUACUUCUGUAAAAUAAGCCUGUAAACUUGUACCAAUUAUAGUUGCUGUGCUAUAAAUGAAUUUUUGAAGUUCCUUAUUUCUAAAAGCCAUUUUUAAUUCCCCCCAU
Long non-coding RNA from Chroicocephalus ridibundus (black-headed gull), 2284 nucleotides. RefSeq lists it as uncharacterized. The record is from RefSeq and is a predicted model, not a curated record. Lineage: Eukaryota; Metazoa; Chordata; Aves; Charadriiformes; Laridae. The transcript is spliced from 5 exons.